Long non-coding RNA from Daphnia magna, 719 nucleotides. RefSeq lists it as uncharacterized. The record is from RefSeq and is a predicted model, not a curated record. NCBI's taxonomy places the organism in Eukaryota, Metazoa, Arthropoda, Branchiopoda, Diplostraca, Daphniidae. The transcript is spliced from 2 exons.
AAACUUAUAGAUCUUCUCGUGUUCAAACUGAAACUGAAAGAUGAAAUGAAAAAGGAAAUGAGAAAAACUUCUAGGUUGCCAAAUGGCAUUACAUAAAUUAUGCAUAUUUAUCAAUUAGCAUAUCUGUUGCUCCUAUUUUUGAGGCAAAAGUUUUAAUUUAAUGAAAAAACAACUUAGCCCUUAAAAUUUCUGAAAACAAUUUUUGAGUUGCAAAAUUUGAAAAAAUGACAUCCAUGUUCUAGCUAUAACAUUGUUUAUCUUGUCGGUAUUCGUCUGAAGUCUGACAGAUUUCGAAAUCAAAACCACAUUAGUUAUAACUCUAGGUAGCAAAGAAUGGACGAGUUUGAAACAAUUGGUGACGAUUUGUCGGGAACCAUCGAAGAACUUAUUAAUGGGGAGCCGACUGUGGUUCGACCCAGCUUGAAUCUUGACGCUUCAACUUGGGAAGGCUGGUUCAAUUCAAUCAUUCUGUAUGCGGCUCAGAAUCCCUGGGAUUUUAUCUAUUAUGUAUUGCUGUGCCUGUCUCCAUUUUUCUUACUAUCUGUUUUCCUGUCAAUGAAACUUGCUAAAGCUUUAGAAGCACAGGAGAAGGAUUUAAAACGUAAAGCAAGGCGAGACACUAAUAUCUCUAAAGCAAGAAAAGCUAAAGGGGAUUGAUGUUCUUUUACAGUAAAUAUUUUUUUUUUCUGAAUUUCCAUACAAUAAAAUGAUAAAAAGAA